UGGGGAAUAUUGGACAAUGGGCGAAAGCCUGAUCCAGCCAUGCCGCGUGUGUGAAGAAGGUCUUCGGAUUGUAAAGCACUUUAAGUUGGGAGGAAGGGCAUUAACCUAAUACGUUAGUGUUUUGACGUUACCGACAGAAUAAGCACCGGCUAACUCUGUGCCAGCAGCCGCGGUAAUACAGAGGGUGCAAGCGUUAAUCGGAAUUACUGGGCGUAAAGCGCGCGGAGGUGGUUUGGUAAGUUGGAUGUGAAAUCCCCGGGCUCAACCUGGGAACUGCAUUCAAAACUGACUGACUAGAGUAUGGUAGAGGGUGGUGGAAUUUCCUGUGUAGCGGUGAAAUGCGUAGAUAUAGGAAGGAACACCAGUGGCGAAGGCGACCACCUGGACUAAUACUGACACUGAGGUGCGAAAGCGUGGGGAGCAAACA
RNAcentral lists this ribosomal RNA (427 nucleotides) under uncultured bacterium. RNAcentral describes it as "partial 16S ribosomal RNA". It matches the Rfam family "Bacterial small subunit ribosomal RNA", at positions 355 to 774 of the family's 1533-position model. The record is from RNAcentral.